RNAcentral lists this unclassified non-coding RNA (240 nucleotides) under soil metagenome. RNAcentral's name for it is "partial contains 5.8S ribosomal RNA, internal transcribed spacer 2, and large subunit ribosomal RNA". The record is from RNAcentral.
AACACUGUUAACCUGCGGUACCUGCGGAAGGAUCAUUACCGAGUUUACAAACUCCCAACCCUAUGUGAACCUUACCAAUCGUUGCUUCGGCGGGCUUAGCCCCCGCGCCCUCGCCGGCGCCGGGAGAAAGGCGCCCGCCGGGGACCCCAAACCCAAUGUUUUUCAUGCAGUAUUUCUGAGUGGCAAACGCAAAAAUAAAUCAAAACUUUUAGCAAUGGAUCUCAGAUCGGAAGAGCACAC